RNAcentral lists this ribosomal RNA (878 nucleotides) under Weissella confusa. RNAcentral describes it as "bacterial SSU rRNA". It matches the Rfam family "Bacterial small subunit ribosomal RNA", at positions 28 to 859 of the family's 1533-position model. Lineage: Bacteria; Bacillati; Bacillota; Bacilli; Lactobacillales; Lactobacillaceae. The record is from RNAcentral.
GAUGAACGCUGGCGGCGUGCCUAAUACAUGCAAGUCGAACGCUUUGUGGUUCAACUGAUUUGAAGAGCUUGCUCAGAUAUGACGAUGGACAUUGCAAAGAGUGGCGAACGGGUGAGUAACACGUGGGAAACCUACCUCUUAGCAGGGGAUAACAUUUGGAAACAGAUGCUAAUACCGUAUAACAAUGACAACCGCAUGGUUGUUAUUUAAAAGAUGGUUCUGCUAUCACUAAGAGAUGGUCCCGCGGUGCAUUAGCUAGUUGGUAAGGUAAUGGCUUACCAAGGCGAUGAUGCAUAGCCGAGUUGAGAGACUGAUCGGCCACAAUGGGACUGAGACACGGCCCAUACUCCUACGGGAGGCAGCAGUAGGGAAUCUUCCACAAUGGGCGAAAGCCUGAUGGAGCAACGCCGCGUGUGUGAUGAAGGGUUUCGGCUCGUAAAACACUGUUGUAAGAGAAGAAUGACAUUGAGAGUAACUGUUCAAUGUGUGACGGUAUCUUACCAGAAAGGAACGGCUAAAUACGUGCCAGCAGCCGCGGUAAUACGUAUGUUCCAAGCGUUAUCCGGAUUUAUUGGGCGUAAAGCGAGCGCAGACGGUUAUUUAAGUCUGAAGUGAAAGCCCUCAGCUCAACUGAGGAAUUGCUUUGGAAACUGGAUGACUUGAGUGCAGUAGAGGAAAGUGGAACUCCAUGUGUAGCGGUGAAAUGCGUAGAUAUAUGGAAGAACACCAGUGGCGAAGGCGGCUUUCUGGACUGUAACUGACGUUGAGGCUCGAAAGUGUGGGUAGCAAACAGGAUUAGAUACCCUGGUAGUCCACACCGUAAACGAUGAGUGCUAGGUGUUUGAGGGUUUCCGCCCUUAAGUGCCGCAGCUAACGCA